Molecule: ribosomal RNA, 425 nt
Filed under: uncultured Alphaproteobacteria bacterium
Lineage: Bacteria; Pseudomonadati; Pseudomonadota; Alphaproteobacteria
Description: bacterial SSU rRNA
Rfam family: Bacterial small subunit ribosomal RNA
Source: RNAcentral
CUUAACUCCGGAAUUGCCUCCAAAACUGCCAAUCUAGAGUCCGGGAGAGGUAAGUGGAAUUCCUAGUGUAGAGGUGAAAUUCGUAGAUAUUAGGAAGAACACCAGUGGCGAAGGCGGCUUACUGGACCGGUACUGACGCUGAGGUGCGAAAGCGUGGGGAACAAACGGGAUUAGAUACCCUGGUAGUCCACGCUGUAAACGAUGGGUGCUAGAUGUUGGGGCUUCAAAGCCUCGGUGUCGCAGCUAACGCAUUAAGCACCCCGCCUGGGGACUACGGCCGCAAGGCUAAAACUCAAAGGAAUUGACGGGGGCCCGCACAAGCGGUGGAGCAUGUGGUUUAAUUCGAGGCAACGCGAAGAACCUUACCAGCCUUUGACAUCCCGGUCGCGAGGAUCAGAGAUGAACCUCUUCAGUUCGGCUGGACC